This 328-nucleotide unclassified non-coding RNA is filed under the name soil metagenome. RNAcentral describes it as "partial contains 5.8S ribosomal RNA, internal transcribed spacer 2, and large subunit ribosomal RNA". The stretch from base 1 to 120 matches the Rfam family "5.8S ribosomal RNA", at positions 35 to 154 of the family's 154-position model. The record is from RNAcentral.
GAUGAAGAACGCAGCGAAAUGCGAUAAGUAAUGUGAAUUGCAGAAUUCAGUGAAUCAUCGAAUCUUUGAACGCACAUUGCGCCCCUUGGUAUUCCGAGGGGCAUGCCUGUUCGAGCGUCAUUAUAACCCCUCAAGCUCAGCUUGGUGUUGGGGCCUGCUGCACUGGCAGCCCUUAAGAUCAGUGGCGGCGCCAUCUGGCUCUAAGCGUAGUAAUUCUUCUCGCUAUGGAGUCCUGGUGGAUGCUUGCCAUCAACCCCCAAUUUUUCUAUGGUUGACCUCGGAUCAGGUAGGGAUACCCGCUGAACUUAAGCAUAUCAAUAACGGAGGA